This 252-nucleotide ribosomal RNA is filed under the name uncultured archaeon. RNAcentral describes it as "partial 16S ribosomal RNA". It matches the Rfam family "Archaeal small subunit ribosomal RNA", at positions 748 to 998 of the family's 1478-position model. The record is from RNAcentral.
CAGCCGUAAACAAUGUGCGUUAGGUGUGUCGGUAACCACGCGUUACUGAUGCGCCGAAGAGAAAUCGUGAAACGCACCACCUGGGAAGUACGGUCGCAAGGCUGAAACUUAAAGGAAUUGGCGGGGGGAGCACCACAACAGGUGGAGCCUGCGGUUUAAUUGGAUUCAACGCCGGACAUCUCACCGGAUAAGACAGCUGAAUGAUUGUCAAUCUGAAGGUUUUACAUGACUAGCUGAGAGGAGGUGCAUGGC